AAAUUCAAAGAAGCAUGAACUGCAUAGAAUCUGAAAUAAAACAUUUCAAACCCGUAGGGUUCUACUAUGUCAGUUAUGCCAAGAUGUCUGGUGGAGUAGUCUGGAUUGUUAAAAUGACAAAUACAGCUCUACACUAAGAGAAAAAUGCACUCUUGAGAGACACAGAGAUGGAGAUUAUUUACAGAAUCUACAGCUCUCCUUCUGGAUUCUGGUCGCUGAGAGAAAAGGUGGAGAAGCACCCACAAAGCAGCUGUGGAAUAAAGAACCCAUUUCACCCUUCAGAGCUCUCCUGCUGCUUUAGUGGAAAACCCGAUGGAUGGAUGGAUAAAGCUUGCAGAAAGAAAAAUCAGCGCUUGGCUAGAGCAAUGCAGGGGAUGUGA
Molecule: long non-coding RNA, 380 nt
Filed under: Zonotrichia albicollis (white-throated sparrow)
Lineage: Eukaryota; Metazoa; Chordata; Aves; Passeriformes; Passerellidae
Description: lncRNA (ENSZALG00000009940.1)
Source: RNAcentral